UACAGAGGGUGCGAGCGUUAAUCGGAAUUACUGGGCGUAAAGCGUGCGCAGGCGGUUUUGUAAGUCUGUCGUGAAAUCCCCGGGCUCAACCUGGGAAUUGCGAUGGAGACUGCAAGGCUAGAAUCUGGCAGAGGGGGUAGAAUUCCACGUGUAGCAGUGAAAUGCGUAGAGAUGUGGAGGAACACCGAUGGCGAAGGCAAUCCCCUGGACCUGUACUGACGCUCAUGCACGAAAGCGUGGGGAGCAAACAGG
RNAcentral lists this ribosomal RNA (252 nucleotides) under uncultured bacterium. RNAcentral describes it as "partial 16S ribosomal RNA". It matches the Rfam family "Bacterial small subunit ribosomal RNA", at positions 524 to 776 of the family's 1533-position model. The record is from RNAcentral.